AACAAACUGGAUGUCUGGUCUGAAGAUGAACUAGAUUGUCUCUGGAUUGGUGUACGUAGACAUGGAAGGGGCAAUUGGGAUGCCAUGCUGCGAGAUACGAAGUUAAAAUUUUCCAAGUAUAGAACUCCUGAGGAUUUAUCAAUUAGGUGGGAAGAAGAGCAGCUCAAGAUCAUGGAUGGACCAGCAUUAUCUGCGCCGAAACCAUCCAAGCCUACCAAAGUGGGAAAAUCAGGCUUAUUCUCAGGCAUUUCCGAUGGAAUGAUGGCUCGAGCAUUGCAUGGUUGUAAACUAAAUAAACAGUUUUUACCAACUCACCUAACAGACAUGAAACUAGGGUUACGUGAUCUGCCUUCCAGCUUUCCACAUUUGGAACCUCCUGAGAGACUUGAU
This 390-nucleotide unclassified non-coding RNA is filed under the name Hevea brasiliensis (rubber tree). Lineage: Eukaryota; Viridiplantae; Streptophyta; Magnoliopsida; Malpighiales; Euphorbiaceae. The record is from RNAcentral.